GCGGCCCUACCAGGAACCGCCGCGCUCCGGCGGGUUCUGGGGCUGCUUGCGUCCCCGCUCCCUCAUUACCCUUGUUUUAUUCCUGCCUCCCCUCGUCGAAAGUCUUCCAUUCUUCGAACUAGAUUAUUUAAGAGAGAGAAAGGAAGAAAGGAAAGCGAGGUCAUCUCGUUGUUGUAUCCGCCAAUCAGGAGGCUGAAUGUCAGUUUUGAACAAAAAGCCGCUCCGCUCCUCUUCUAGAUUUGGAAAACUAGCGAAAUUAAAUGAAACCGCUGCACGCUUCUGACGCGACAUCUGGACACGGCGUGGCGCUGCUGGAGCCGCGGGCCCGGCCCGGCGGCGGACUCGGCAAUAUUAUAGGUGACACUUCAGCAGGAGAUUCGCAGGAUGAAAGGGUACCUCUGUCCUCUAGGAAAAGUGAUAGAGCUUACAAACUCAUAACUCAGAUGGAAUGAAGAGUCAUGCUGUUUACAUCUUUCCAACAGUCCCCCUCCAGAAGAAAACUCUGUGUUGACAAUCAUCUGCCGACUUGUCUUUAUCUUCAUGUGCAUCAUUAAUGAUUUUGGAGGACAUGCUGGUGCGAUGGGAAGAAAAGCAAGACAGCCAUAAUAGGCUUUUGAACCAGAAUGCACUUACUUUUUGCAUCCAUGGAACGAAUAUCUUCUGA
Molecule: long non-coding RNA, 664 nt
Organism: Saimiri boliviensis boliviensis (Bolivian squirrel monkey)
Lineage: Eukaryota; Metazoa; Chordata; Mammalia; Primates; Cebidae
Source: RefSeq, a predicted model, not a curated record